GCUGACGACAAUAGCGCGAUGGCCCAACCUGAUCCCUUCCCGAACUCAGAAGUGAAACAUCGUUGCGCCAAUGGUAGUGUGGAUU
RNAcentral lists this ribosomal RNA (85 nucleotides) under Pseudoalteromonas sp. NZS71. The record is from RNAcentral. Lineage: Bacteria; Pseudomonadati; Pseudomonadota; Gammaproteobacteria; Alteromonadales; Pseudoalteromonadaceae.